This 253-nucleotide ribosomal RNA is filed under the name uncultured bacterium. Its description in RNAcentral is "partial 16S ribosomal RNA". It matches the Rfam family "Bacterial small subunit ribosomal RNA", at positions 524 to 776 of the family's 1533-position model. The record is from RNAcentral.
UACGUAGGGGGCGAGCGUUGUCCGGAUUUACUGGGCGUAAAGCGCGUGUAGGCGGCUUUGCAAGUCGGAUGUGAAAUCCCACGGCUCAACCGUGGAAGUGCAUCCGAAACUGCAUCGCUGGAGUCUCGGAGAGGAAGGUGGAAUGCUUGGUGUAGAGGUGAAAUUCGUAGAUAUCAAGCAGAACACCUGCGGCGAAGGCGGCCUUCUGGACGAUGACUGACGCUGAGACGCGAAAGCGUGGGGAGCAAACAGG